This 1372-nucleotide ribosomal RNA is filed under the name uncultured bacterium. Its description in RNAcentral is "bacterial SSU rRNA". It matches the Rfam family "Bacterial small subunit ribosomal RNA", at positions 28 to 1381 of the family's 1533-position model. The record is from RNAcentral.
GAUGAACGCUGGCGGCGUGCCUAAUACAUGCAAGUCGAGCGAACGGACGAGAAGCUUGCUUCUCUGAUGUUAGCGGCGGACGGGUGAGUAACACGUGGAUAACCUACCUAUAAGACUGGGAUAACUUCGGGAAACCGGAGCUAAUACCGGAUAAUAUUUUGAACCGCAUGGUUCAAAAGUGAAAGACGGUCUUGCUGUCACUUAUAGAUGGAUCCGCGCUGCAUUAGCUAGUUGGUAAGGUAACGGCUUACCAAGGCAACGAUGCAUAGCCGACCUGAGAGGGUGAUCGGCCACACUGGAACUGAGACACGGUCCAGACUCCUACGGGAGGCAGCAGUAGGGAAUCUUCCGCAAUGGGCGAAAGCCUGACGGAGCAACGCCGCGUGAGUGAUGAAGGUCUUCGGAUCGUAAAACUCUGUUAUUAGGGAAGAACAUAUGUGUAAGUAACUGUGCACAUCUUGACGGUACCUAAUCAGAAAGCCACGGCUAACUACGUGCCAGCAGCCGCGGUAAUACGUAGGUGGCAAGCGUUAUCCGGAAUUAUUGGGCGUAAAGCGCGCGUAGGCGGUUUUUUAAGUCUGAUGUGAAAGCCCGCGGCUCAACCGUGGAGGGUCAUUGGAAACUGGAAAACUUGAGUGCAGAAGAGGAAAGUGGAAUUCCAUGUGUAGCGGUGAAAUGCGCAGAGAUAUGGAGGAACACCAGUGGCGAAGGCGACUUUCUGGUCUGUAACUGACGCUGAUGUGCGAAAGCGUGGGGAUCAAACAGGAUUAGAUACCCUGGUAGUCCACGCCGUAAACGAUGAGUGCUAAGUGUUAGGGGGUUUCCGCCCCUUAGUGCUGCAGCUAACGCAUUAAGCACUCCGCCUGGGGAGUACGACCGCAAGGUUGAAACUCAAAGGAAUUGACGGGGACCCGCACAAGCGGUGGAGCAUGUGGUUUAAUUCGAAGCAACGCGAAGAACCUUACCAAAUCUUGACAUCCUUUGACAACUCUAGAGAUAGAGCUUUCCCCUUCGGGGGACAAAGUGACAGGUGGUGCAUGGUUGUCGUCAGCUCGUGUCGUGAGAUGUUGGGUUAAGUCCCGCAACGAGCGCAACCCUUAAGCUUAGUUGCCAUCAUUAAGUUGGGCACUCUAAGUUGACUGCCGGUGACAAACCGGAGGAAGGUGGGGAUGACGUCAAAUCAUCAUGCCCCUUAUGAUUUGGGCUACACACGUGCUACAAUGGACAAUACAAAGGGCAGCGAAACCGUGAGGUCAAGCAAAUCCCAUAAAGUUGUUCUCAGUUCGGAUUGUAGUCUGCAACUCGACUACAUGAAGCUGGAAUCGCUAGUAAUCGUAGAUCAGCAUGCUACGGUGAAUACGUUCCCGGGUCU